AGCUCCAAUAGCGUAUAUUAAAGUUGUUGCAGUUAAAAAGCUCGUAGUCGGAACUCGGGCUGGGGGUCUGUGCCCAGCACUGCUGCGUGUGCAGGGCCCCGGUCUUCCUUCUGGCUUUGCGCGGGGAUCCUUGAUUGGGUUGCUGCGUGGAGGUCAGGACGUUUACUGUGAAAAAAUUAGAGUGUUUAAAGCAGGCGAUUGCUGUGAAUACAUUAGCAUGGAAUAAUAGAAUAGGACUUGGGUUCUAUUUUGUUGGUUUUUAGGACCGAAGUAAUGAUUAAUAGGGACAGUUGGGGGCAUUCGUAUUUCAUUGUCAGAGGUGAAAUUCUUGGAUUUAUGAAAGACGAACCGCUGCGAAAGCGUCUGCCAAGGAUGUUUUCAUUGAUCAAGAACGAAAGUA
This 400-nucleotide ribosomal RNA is filed under the name phytoplankton environmental sample. Its description in RNAcentral is "partial small subunit ribosomal RNA". It matches the Rfam family "Eukaryotic small subunit ribosomal RNA", at positions 587 to 991 of the family's 1831-position model. The record is from RNAcentral.